RNAcentral lists this long non-coding RNA (1006 nucleotides) under Homo sapiens (human). Its description in RNAcentral is "novel transcript, antisense to KCNJ14". The record is from RNAcentral. Lineage: Eukaryota; Metazoa; Chordata; Mammalia; Primates; Hominidae.
GGCGGCUAGGAAGGCCCGCGGGGAAUCCGGGGCGGUCCCGCCAGUCGGGCCUGGAUCCGCGUUGGCCCGCGGGCUCGGGUGAGCCCGCUCAAACGCCCCGGGAGCCACCGCCGCCUCCUCAGCGCCAGUCCUCAGCGCUGAAAAGACUCUUCCCUUCGUCGCCCAACCGCCCCUUCAGUAGGGACCGCCCCUCUUUUUGACACUGUCCAAUCCACAGUGGGCGCUUUCGUCCUCCCCGCCCUCGCCACCAAAGGAUCGUUCUCCAGGGCCAACAGUCGUACAAAAAGCCGGUGUAGGUAUGUCCGGCCAGAGGUAGACGGCCCGCGGGGCCAAUCGGAGUGCAGGCAGGGCAGCAGGCCCCGCCUCCGAAACAACAGAAAGCACUUGACAGGCUUGCUCUCCAAUGAGAAGCCCCGGAAAAGUGUCGCGCGGAGGCGGAGCCACGCGGUACAGCCACCUCUGCGCCUGCUCAAAGGCCCUGGACACUUGGAGUCUAGACACCCGAGUUCAGAGCCAGCCUCCAAGAGUAUCUUACAUCCCAGCGUCUCCUGGAAGGCCGUAUGAUCCAGCACUGGGGAGAGGAGGGAAAUCCCCAGGACUCGAAUGCCCAUCCCACCCUUGGUGUAGUGAGGACUCAUCCUGCUGGAAAGGCCCCUGAAGAACUUCAAGUUCCAAUAUCCCGUUUUUACAGAUGGGGAAACUGACAUGAAGAGGAGUCCAAAGUGACACAGUCAGGCCAGAAAUGUUGCUUCUGAAGUCCUGAGUCCACCUCCUAGCACUGCCAAGCAGUCCACCUGGAGGUGAUGAGAACUUCCAGGCUUUGGUAAUGGACAACUCUGUAUCCCUGGAGCCUUCAUUCCUUUUGGCAUUACAGAACCACAAGAAGUCAUCUAGAAUCAUUGAGAUUCUCAACUCCAUUGGGCAAACUGGAACCAGCAAAAUCUCAGAUAUCUAGAAUUGCCACUGCUUCCUUGACUCUGUGAUCAGUCUACAGCCACAGAAUCCU